Molecule: transfer RNA, 63 nt
Filed under: Epicauta emmerichi
Lineage: Eukaryota; Metazoa; Arthropoda; Insecta; Coleoptera; Meloidae
Description: Denierella emmerichi tRNA-Phe
Source: RNAcentral
ACUUAAAUAGCCUAUAUAGGGCAUGAUACUGAAGAUAUCAGGGAAACUUAAAGUUUUUAAGUA